CUCUGCCCCUCCCUCCUCUGCCCCCCUACCUCUGCCCUCCCUCCUCUGGCACCCCCACCUCUGCCCCCUCAAGCUGUCAGAGCAGUGGGCAUUGUGCUGGCUGAGUGAAAGUCCAUGGUGGAGGGAAGAGUGGGAUUCGUCUUCUGUGAACCCGGACUUGAAAACCUCCGGCCGCACGGGGGGGUGUGAGACUCCCCGGCUGCCCGCCCCCGACAGGUGCCAGACAGAGGCCGAGCACAGGGCAAGGCCACUGCCGCUCUUUCUACUGGCCCCGUGCGGCACCUCCCACACAGGCACUCGAUAAAUACUGGAUUUUAUUAAAUAAACUCCAGGGAUUGUUUUAUCCGUAAGCCUCAAAUUGAUGUUAUGAAUAAAUAGCCAU
RNAcentral lists this long non-coding RNA (382 nucleotides) under Homo sapiens (human). Its description in RNAcentral is "HSALNT0156173". Lineage: Eukaryota; Metazoa; Chordata; Mammalia; Primates; Hominidae. The record is from RNAcentral.